Molecule: small nucleolar RNA, 107 nt
Organism: Lactuca sativa (garden lettuce)
Lineage: Eukaryota; Viridiplantae; Streptophyta; Magnoliopsida; Asterales; Asteraceae
Source: RefSeq, a predicted model, not a curated record
AGGUCAUGUUGAGGGAAACUUCUAAUCAAGCCCUUAUAUCUCUCUAAAGCUUUAUACAAUGACUCCCCAACCUCUUGUUGAAAGUUAACUAUCUUCUUUUUGAGCUU